AUACGGAGGAUCCAAGCGUUAUCCGGAAUCAUUGGGUUUAAAGGGUCCGUAGGCGGGUUUGUAAGUCAGUGGUGAAAGUUUUCGGCUCAACCGGAAAAUUACCAUUGAUACUGCAAGUCUUGAAUCAUUAUGAAGUGGUUAGAAUGUGUAGUGUAGCGGUGAAAUGCAUAGAUAUUACACAGAAUACCGAUUGCGAAGGCAGAUCACUAAUAAUGUAUUGACGCUAAGGGACGAAAGCGUGGGUAGCGAACAGGAUUAGAAACCCGAGUAGUCC
This 274-nucleotide ribosomal RNA is filed under the name uncultured bacterium. RNAcentral describes it as "partial 16S ribosomal RNA". It matches the Rfam family "Bacterial small subunit ribosomal RNA", at positions 523 to 796 of the family's 1533-position model. The record is from RNAcentral.